Molecule: small nuclear RNA, 107 nt
Filed under: Peromyscus maniculatus bairdii (prairie deer mouse)
Lineage: Eukaryota; Metazoa; Chordata; Mammalia; Rodentia; Cricetidae
Source: RNAcentral
GUGCUCGCUUUGGCAGUACAUAUACUAAAAUUGGAACGAUACAGAGAAGAUUAGCAUGGCCCCUGUGCAAGGAUGACAUGCAAAUUUGAAAAGUGGUCCAUAUUUAA